UACGUAGGGUGCAAGCGUUGUCCGGAAUUAUUGGGCGUAAAGAGCUCGUAGGCGGUUUGUCGCGUCUGCUGUGAAAACUCAGGGCUUAACUCUGAGCUUGCAGUGGGUACGGGCAGACUAGAGUGCGGUAGGGGAGACUGGAAUUCCUGGUGUAGCGGUGAAAUGCGCAGAUAUCAGGAGGAACACCGGUGGCGAAGGCGGGUCUCUGGGCCGUAACUGACGCUGAGACGCGAAAGCCAGGGGAGCGAACGGG
Molecule: ribosomal RNA, 253 nt
Filed under: uncultured bacterium
Lineage: Bacteria
Description: partial 16S ribosomal RNA
Rfam family: Bacterial small subunit ribosomal RNA
Source: RNAcentral